GACGAACGCUGGCGGCGUGCUUAACACAUGCAGGUCGAACGGAAAGGCCUGCUUUCCCUUGUGGAUUGCGGGUGCUCGAGUGGCGAACGGGUGAGUAACACGUGAGUGAUCUGCCCCCAACUUGGGUAUAAGCCUGGGAAACUGGGUCUAAUUCCCGAUAGGACUGCAGGGUGGUGCCUGUGGUGGAAAACGAUUUUCUAGUGGUUGGGGAUGAGCUCGCGGCCUAUCAGCUUGUUGGUGGGGUAAUGGCCUACCAAGGCGGCGACGGGUAGCCGGCCUGAGAGGGUGGACGGCCACAUUGGGACUGAGAUACGGCCCAGACUCCUACGGGAGGCAGCAGUGGGGAAUAUUGCACAAUGGGCGGAAGCCUGAUGCAGCGACGCCGCGUGGGGGAUGACGGCCUUCGGGUUGUAAACUCCUUUCGACCGCGAGGAAGCCACCUGGUUGGAAGGGUGGUGACGGUAGUGGUAGAAGAAGCACCGGCUAACUACGU
Molecule: ribosomal RNA, 493 nt
Filed under: uncultured bacterium
Lineage: Bacteria
Description: partial 16S ribosomal RNA
Rfam family: Bacterial small subunit ribosomal RNA
Source: RNAcentral